CCCGAGUGGCGGACGGGUGAGUAACGCGUGGGAACCUGUCGCGUGGUGGGGGAUAACGCUGGGAAACCGGCGCUAAUACCGCAUAUGGUCCCCUUUUAGGGGAGCAAAGCAGCAAUGCGCCGUGCGAGGGGCCCGCGUCCGAUUAGCUUGUUGGUGGGGUAACGGCCUACCAAGGCGACGAUCGGUAGCUGGUCUGAGAGGAUGGUCAGCCACACUGGGACUGAGAUACGGCCCAG
Molecule: ribosomal RNA, 236 nt
Filed under: uncultured bacterium
Lineage: Bacteria
Description: partial 16S ribosomal RNA
Rfam family: Bacterial small subunit ribosomal RNA
Source: RNAcentral